UACGUAGGGCGCAAGCGUUGUCCGGAAUUAUUGGGCGUAAAGGGCUCGUAGGCGGCCAACUAAGUCAGACGUGAAAUCCCCAGGCUCAACCUGGGAACUGCGUCUGAUACUGGAUGGCUUGAAUCCGGGAGAGGGAUGCAGAAUUCCAGGUGUAGCGGUGAAAUGCGUAGAUAUCUGGAGGAAUACCGGUGGCGAAGGCGGCAUCCUGGACCGGCAUUGACGCUGAGGAGCGAAAGCUAGGGGAGCAAACGGG
This 253-nucleotide ribosomal RNA is filed under the name uncultured bacterium. RNAcentral describes it as "partial 16S ribosomal RNA". It matches the Rfam family "Bacterial small subunit ribosomal RNA", at positions 524 to 776 of the family's 1533-position model. The record is from RNAcentral.